UAGAUGUGUCCCUCUCUGAUUUAGUUAGCCC
This 31-nucleotide non-coding RNA is filed under the name Mus musculus (house mouse). Lineage: Eukaryota; Metazoa; Chordata; Mammalia; Rodentia; Muridae. The record is from RNAcentral.